GUCUACAGCCAUGCCAUCCUGAAUGUGCCUGAUCUCGUCUGAUUGGAAGCUAAGCACGGUUGGGCCUGGUUAGUACUUAGAUGGGAGACCACCUAGGAAUACCAGGUGCUGUAGGCG
Molecule: ribosomal RNA, 117 nt
Filed under: Pteropus alecto (black flying fox)
Lineage: Eukaryota; Metazoa; Chordata; Mammalia; Chiroptera; Pteropodidae
Source: RNAcentral